This is a non-coding RNA of Flammula alnicola, 90 nucleotides long. The record is from the annotation of a GenBank genome assembly. NCBI's taxonomy places the organism in Eukaryota, Fungi, Basidiomycota, Agaricomycetes, Agaricales, Strophariaceae.
GGUGGGUUGGCGUAAUGGCAACGCGUUAGUUUCCGGUCGUAAUUGAUACUGACCAGCUAAAGAUUCUGGGUUCGAGUCCCAGGCCCGUCG